GAGAGAGCUAGGUGAGAGAGAAAGAGGCGGAGGGAGAAGAGAGAGCUAGGUGAGAGAGAAAGAGGCGGAGGAAGAAGAGAGAGCUAGGUGAGAGAGAAAGAGGUGGAGGGAGAAGAGAGAGCUAGGUGAGAGAGAAAGAGGCGGAGGGAGAAGAGAGAGCUAGGUGAGAGAGAAAGAGGCGGAGGGAGAAGAGAGCUAGGUGAGAGAGAGAGACGGAGGGAGAAGAGAGAGCUAGGUGAGAGAGAGAGACGGAGGGAGAAGAGAGAGCUAGGUGAGAGAGAAAGAGGCGGAGGGAGAAGAGAGAGCUAGAUGAGAGAGAAAGAGGCGGAGGGAGACGAGAGAGCUAGGUGAGAGAGAAAGAGGCGGAGGGAGAAGAGAGCUAGGUGAGAGAGAAAGAGGCGGAGGGAGAAGAGAGAGCUAGGUGAGAGAGAAAGAGGCAGAUGGAGAAGAGAGAGCUAGGUGAGAGAGAAAGAGGCGGAGGGAGAAGAGAGAGCUAGGUGAGAGAGAAAGAGGCAGAGGGAGAAGAGAGAGCUAGGGGAGAGAGAAAGAGGCGGAGGGAGAAGAGAGCUAGGUGAGAGAGAGAGAGGCGGAGGGAGAAGAGAG
This is a long non-coding RNA of Oncorhynchus tshawytscha (Chinook salmon), 603 nucleotides long. NCBI's taxonomy places the organism in Eukaryota, Metazoa, Chordata, Actinopteri, Salmoniformes, Salmonidae. The record is from Ensembl.